AGCAGCCGCGGUAAUUCCAGCUCCAAUAGCGUAUAUUAAAGUUGUUGCAGUUAAAAAGCUCGUAGUUGAAUUUCGAGAUCGGCUUACUGGUCGUGCUUUUGUACGUACUGGUAAAUCGGUUUCUCCUUUCUGACGAACUUUAAUGCCAUUAAUUUGGUGUUUUAGGGAAUCAGGACUGUUACUUUGAAAAAAUUAGAGUGUUUAAAGCAGGCUCACGCUUGAAUACAUUAGCAUGGAAUAACGGAAUAGGACGUUUGAUUCUAUUUUGUUGGUUUCUAGGAUCGACGUAAUGAUUAAUAGGGAUAGUUGGGGGCAUUAGUAUUCAAUUGUCAGAGGUGAAAUUCUUGGAUUUAUUGAAGACUAACUACUGCGAAAGCAUUUGCCAAGGAUGUUUUCAUUAAUCAAGAACGAAAGUUAGGGGAUCGAAGACGAUCAGAUACCGUCGUAGUCUUAACCAUAAACUAUGCCGACUAGGGAUCGGAUGGAUGUUAAUUUUUAAUUGACUCAUUCGGCGCCCUUA
This 520-nucleotide ribosomal RNA is filed under the name uncultured Glomus. Its description in RNAcentral is "SSU rRNA". It matches the Rfam family "Eukaryotic small subunit ribosomal RNA", at positions 569 to 1091 of the family's 1831-position model. The record is from RNAcentral. Lineage: Eukaryota; Fungi; Glomeromycota; Glomeromycetes; Glomerales; Glomeraceae.